GAUGAACGCUGGCGGCGUGCUUAACACAUGCAAGUCGAACGGAACUCCUAUGAUCGAGGUCUCGGCCAAAAGAAUAGGAUGUUUAGUGGCGGACGGGUGAGUAACGCGUGAGUAACCUGCCUUGGAGUGGGGAAUAACACAGUGAAAACUGGGCUAAUACCACAUAAUGAAUUUGGGUCGCAUGAUCCUGAAUGCCAAAGAUUUAUCGCUCUGAGAUGGACUCGCGUCUGAUUAGCUAGUUGGCGGGGUAACGGCCCACCAAGGCGACGAUCAGUAGCCGGACUGAGAGGUUGACCGGCCACAUUGGGACUGAGACACGGCCCAGACUCCUACGGGAGGCAGCAGUGGGGAAUAUUGGGCAAUGGGCGCAAGCCUGACCCAGCAACGCCGCGUGAAGGAAGAAGGCUUUCGGGUUGUAAACUUCUUUUGUCAGGGACGAAGCAAGUGACGGUACCUGACGAAUAAGCCACGGCUAACUACGUGCCAGCAGCCGCCGUAA
Molecule: ribosomal RNA, 499 nt
Filed under: uncultured bacterium
Lineage: Bacteria
Description: partial 16S ribosomal RNA
Rfam family: Bacterial small subunit ribosomal RNA
Source: RNAcentral